Molecule: long non-coding RNA, 1100 nt
Filed under: Parus major (Great Tit)
Lineage: Eukaryota; Metazoa; Chordata; Aves; Passeriformes; Paridae
Description: lncRNA (ENSPMJG00000006301.1)
Source: RNAcentral
CCGCUCCCGCCCUUUCCCUUCCCUUCCCUCGGCUCCUUCCCCUUCCCUCCGCUCCUUUCCUCCAGGCCGAGCCCCUUUCCCAGCUCCCUCAGCCCCUCCUGGCGCUCCGGGGCACGGGGAAGAAGCUUUUUUGCUCCAGCAGAGAUUUUCCUUCUCCCUCUGGGCUGUUGUGGCCUGGGGUCCGUCAGGGGUGGAUCCAGGACAAGCCCCAGGCUGUGCUGGCACGCCCGGCCUUGGUUUGGCGUUUAACCCAAACUCCUGAGGCGCUGGGAUGGCACCACCGGGAUUUUGGGUCCACGGGAGCUUCGGAACCAUCGACUCACCCCUGUUUUAAGGCGAAUCUCCGCAGCUCCAGGGCUGUGCCAGCGUUUGGGAGAACGAGAGUAGCCCGGGCUCGGUGCUGGACCCUGCUGCUUGACAAGGCGAAGUUUGGUCAAAGGCUGCACUCGAUGAUCUCCGAGGUUUUUCCGAUCCCAGCGAUCCCGGGAUUCCUCAGGGCUCUCUGCCAUCCUGCUCCUGUCCAGCGAGGCCAAAUUCUCACCGUGACACAACAGCAGCCUAAGCAGGUUUUCCAGCUCCAAAGGAGAGGAAUCAGCAGGGAAGGGAUGGUUAAAUCCUUGUGUUUUCCUGUUUAGAUCCGGGGAUAUUCAGCUCUCCUCAGGACAGGAAUCUGAGGAAAGGGUGAUUAAAUCCCUUUAAAACCCUCGUGUUUAGCUGUUUCUGUCUGUAGCCAAGGAAAUGUUUUUCCUCUUUCCCAGAAGGAAGUUUUCCCUUGAGGAAGUGGGAGGGGAUGGCACCGAGGGAGCUCCUGGUUGUUUUUCACAAGGUUCUGCUGCAAAAUUGAACCUGAUCAGGAGAAAUUCUCACCAAGCUCCCAGAACUGCUCUGUCUGAUGAAAUCUCCCAUCAGAGCUCUUGGACUCCCCUCUGCUGAGUUUAUUUCACACUGUCCUUGCACACAGAUGUUUAUUCCAACUCUUCACAUGAUGCAAACCCCCUCCCAUUCCUGCUUUUUCUGCCAAAUACCUUCCAAACUUCCUGGCUCCUUGCUCAGCCCUGCUGUAAAUCAGCACAGCCAAUAAAUUCAUAAUUGCUUGUGCA